RNAcentral lists this ribosomal RNA (253 nucleotides) under uncultured bacterium. RNAcentral describes it as "partial 16S ribosomal RNA". It matches the Rfam family "Bacterial small subunit ribosomal RNA", at positions 524 to 776 of the family's 1533-position model. The record is from RNAcentral.
UACGAAGGGGGCUAGCGUUGCUCGGAAUCACUGGGCGUAAAGCGCACGUAGGCGGAUUGUUAAGUCAGGGGUGAAAUCCUGGAGCUCAACUCCAGAACUGCCUUUGAUACUGGCGAUCUUGAGUCCGGGAGAGGUGAGUGGAACUCUGGGUGUAGAGGUGAAAUUCGUAGAUAUUCGGAAGAACACCAGUGGCGAAGGCGGCUGCCUGGGCCUGGCCUGACGCUGAGGCGCGAAAGCGUGGGGAGCGAUCCGG